This 466-nucleotide ribosomal RNA is filed under the name Vreelandella stevensii. Its description in RNAcentral is "partial 16S ribosomal RNA". It matches the Rfam family "Bacterial small subunit ribosomal RNA", at positions 338 to 795 of the family's 1533-position model. Lineage: Bacteria; Pseudomonadati; Pseudomonadota; Gammaproteobacteria; Oceanospirillales; Halomonadaceae. The record is from RNAcentral.
CCUACGGGUGGCUGCAGUGGGGAAUAUUGGACAAUGGGCGAAAGCCUGAUCCAGCCAUGCCGCGUGUGUGAAGAAGGCCUUCGGGUUGUAAAGCACUUUCAGUGGGGAAGAAAGCCUUGGGGCUAAUACCCUCGAGGAAGGACAUCACCCACAGAAGAAGCACCGGCUAACUCCGUGCCAGCAGCCGCGGUAAUACGGAGGGUGCGAGCGUUAAUCGGAAUUACUGGGCGUAAAGCGCGCGUAGGCGGUCUGAUAAGCCGGUUGUGAAAGCCCCGGGCUCAACCUGGGAACGGCAUCCGGAACUGUCAGGCUAGAGUGCAGGAGAGGAAGGUAGAAUUCCCGGUGUAGCGGUGAAAUGCGUAGAGAUCGGGAGGAAUACCAGUGGCGAAGGCGGCCUUCUGGACUGACACUGACGCUGAGGUGCGAAAGCGUGGGUAGCAAACAGGAUUAGAUACCCCGGUUAGUC